UUUGAUUCUGAUUCAAGACCAGGUCUUGUGUUGGCCUGUUUCAUAUUUUUUUGUUUUUUUGUUUAUUUGAAUUUUGAAUUUUAGUUAUUCUUCUUUUGUUUUUAUAUAUAUCAUCUUGAAUGAUUUGUUCAUAAACUAUUCUUCCAAUCUUGGAUGGAAGAAUAGUUGUAGAAAAUUGGGUGAAAUACUUCAUUUCUGAGAACAUGUGAUAGCUUCAUUUACUUUUGGGUGAAAUACUUCAUUUCUGAAAAAAGAAACCAUUAUAUUUUUUCCGGCAGAUAUUUCUUUUUCACGUCGAAUUCUAUCGGCAGCGGCGACGUUAAAUCCCUAAUCUCGGCAGCGAUAUUUCUUUCUAAAUCCCUGUACUUCACAAACCGAUCUCCACUCCGGCACUCCCAUCCUACACGGUAAUGUGUAUUCUAUUCUUAUUUUCUUUUAGUUUAGUUUGGGACAAAAAUAGAUCUGUUAAAUCCACGAUUUGUUCAUUUGUUUGUCCACGAUUUGUUUGAUCCCUAAAAAAUAUAUUGAAUCCCUAAAAAAAUUCUUUGUUUCUAUUUUCAUCAAAAUCAGUUCAUUUGUUUCUAUUUUAAUUUCUCUUCAUUUUUUUUUGUUUCUUGCAUUGUAACCCUAUUUCAAAUCCCUGUUUUCUAAAAUUCUGUUAUAUCAUGUUAUGAAUUUAAUAUAGCUGCUUCAAACUUCUUCAUUAAAUUUAUGAUGAUGGUAUGUUUAAUUCGAGUUUGCGAUUUCAAAAUAAAUGAAUGUUUACGAUUUAUAAACUCUUAGUUUCUAUCGACUAUCAUAUGAUUCACAUCGUGUUUAAUUUUAUAGUUUUAUAGUGUUAUAUUAUGCUAGAUUUUAUAUUAUUUAGAAAUGUUUAGUUAGAGUUAGUUAUUUUUGUAUAAGUUUUUUGAAUACUUAUUUGAAUACCUUUUUCAUUUAAAUAUUGAUUUUUAAGAGGUUUCUUUUUAUUUGUAUGUUAGGAGAUAAACUAAAAUGACUGAUCAAAUAGAAGGGUUCGACAAAUCAUGGUUGUUUGAAAGUUCAACCUCGAUGAAAUUUCAAAGUGGAUUGAAAAGUUUUUUAGAUUUUGCUGAAAUCUAUUCAAACCACAAGAUGGAACCUGGAUUAAAACUACCAUGUCCUUGUUCAAAGUGUCACAAUGGCAAAUAUUAUAAUCGUAAGACCAUUAGUGAGCAUGUCAUACUCUUUAGUUUUGACAAUGCAUAUAGGUAUAAGACAUGGUAUAUGCAUGGAGAAUUAAUUCCAGGUUCGAGAGCACAUAAAAAAGCAUUGAAACGCAAGAGACGUG
This 1309-nucleotide long non-coding RNA is filed under the name Zostera marina. RNAcentral describes it as "long non-coding RNA (ZMAR_LNC000608)". The record is from RNAcentral. Lineage: Eukaryota; Viridiplantae; Streptophyta; Magnoliopsida; Alismatales; Zosteraceae.